Molecule: unclassified non-coding RNA, 374 nt
Filed under: Hevea brasiliensis (rubber tree)
Lineage: Eukaryota; Viridiplantae; Streptophyta; Magnoliopsida; Malpighiales; Euphorbiaceae
Source: RNAcentral
GUCAGCACUUAGAAGGUUUUUUCAUCACAAUUUGGAUAUCAGCUGUUAUGUAUAAGUCGAACGACAUUGUCAAGAAACAGACUGCUCUAAAGGGAGAGAGGAAAAUUUCUGUCCUUGCUGGAACUUCUAUUGCAUUUUUGGUUCAUGUAAUUGGGAUUUACUGGUGGUGUCAUAGUGACGAUCUUCUAUACCCCUUAGUCAUGCUUCCACCAAAGACAGUACCACCUUUUUGGCAUGCCUUGUUCAUCAUUUUGGUUAACGAUACGAUGGUGAGGCAGUUUGCUAUGGCUCUCAAAUGUUUUCUUCUUAUUUACUACAAGAAUGGCAGAGGCCAUAAUUUUCGUCGGCAGGGUCAAAUCUUAACUCUUGUGGAA